GAACUCCAAUUUUCUCUAUUCUUCAGGGACGACCAGUGAAGCGGCGUUACUGAGGGAGAGCGGAGAGCGAGUGAGGGCGAGGUUGCUGUCCUUCUUAGUGUUGCUGAUGUGAAUAGUUGAAUACCACUUCCAAAUUGACGACCCUCACUUGUCUCUAUUCUUCAGGGACGACCAGUGAAGCGGCGGUACUGAGGGAGAGGGGAGAGCGAGGGAGACGCGAGGUUGCUGUCCUUCUUAGUGUUGCUGAUGUGAAUGGUUGAAUACCACUUCCAAAUUGACGACCCUCACUUGUCUCUAUUCUUGAGGGACGACCAGUGAAGCGGCGGUACUUAGGGAGAGGGGAGAGCGAGGGAGGGCGAGGUUGCUGUCCUUCUUAGUGUUGCUGAUGUGAAUAGUUGAAUACCACUUCCAAAUUGACGACCCUCACUUGUCUCUAUUCUUCAGGGACGACCAGUGAAGCGGCGGUACUGAGGGAGAGGGGAGAGCGAGGGAGGGCGAGGUUGCUGUCCUUCUUAGUGUUGCUGAUGUGAAUAGUUGAUUAGCACUUCCACAAAUGACAACC
Long non-coding RNA from Eriocheir sinensis (Chinese mitten crab), 562 nucleotides. RefSeq lists it as uncharacterized. Lineage: Eukaryota; Metazoa; Arthropoda; Malacostraca; Decapoda; Varunidae. The transcript has 2 exons. The record is from RefSeq and is a predicted model, not a curated record.